ACGCUCGACACCUACGGGGGCAGCAGUAGGGAAUCUUCCACAAUGGACGCAAGUCUGAUGGAGCAACGCCGCGUGAGUGAAGAAGGUCUUCGGGUCGUAAAACUCUGUUGUUAGAGAAGAACACGAGUGAGAGUAACUGUUCAUUCGAUGACGGUAUCUAACCAGCAAGUCACGGCUAACUACGUGCCAACAGCCGCGGUAAUCUGAGCGGGCUGGCAAGGC
Molecule: ribosomal RNA, 222 nt
Filed under: uncultured bacterium
Lineage: Bacteria
Description: partial 16S ribosomal RNA
Rfam family: Bacterial small subunit ribosomal RNA
Source: RNAcentral